This 34497-nucleotide long non-coding RNA is filed under the name Selaginella moellendorffii. RNAcentral's name for it is "long non-coding RNA (SMOE_LNC002087)". The record is from RNAcentral. Lineage: Eukaryota; Viridiplantae; Streptophyta; Lycopodiopsida; Selaginellales; Selaginellaceae.
GAAAAGUAUCCUCGUUGUUGGACGUUUGUGCACAGUUUCUCAACUUGAGUACUAACUUUCGCUGAGACCUUGGCCGCCUGCAUUCACCCACGUCCGAAGUCUCUGCGGGACUCUUCUUCGGAGGUUCAUCGUCUUCACGUUCCUGAGUUUUUGUAAGAACUUUCCCGUUGCGUAGAAGCCUCUGGUUCUCGUUCUCUCCAGAUGUACCAGGUCUUUUGGCAUCCUCAGCGGCCAGGUGGCGUGCUCCGUCGUCUUCGUACUCAUGUAAGCUCGAAAACAUGGUCAAGGCAUUCCGAGCUGCCAUCCUCAUAGGCCUCAAUGCAUGGUCCGUGUUUGACUUUCUUAUCAGACCUCAAUAUAGACUUUAGUUUCCUCAUCGGCAUCAAAAGUGCAUUGUAUGACUCCUCCAAGCGCCAGCGCUUUUGCUUCCUGACCAAGGUCGCAAGUAUCUGUAAUGGAUUAUCAGAAACACAAAAACUUCACGUACAUACCUUUCUCCUUCUUCGGGUACGAACCACUUCAGAAUCUAAUUCGUCAUUUUCUUUGUCGGUUGUUUCCGAUUCACAGAUCGUACCACUUUCUUCAUUUCCAUCCUCGUCACUCAAGAAACUGGGAUAAAGAAGUCACCGGCUUGAGUGACGAGUCUGGUUCUGACUACUGCGCGAGCGAAGAAAGCUCUCCGCCGGUUGUUCUACCCAUCUGUUGCCUUGCUCGUUUGUUUGCUCAAUCGCUUGCAGAGAAGAAACUGAGGCUUAUCCUGAGGAAUGAAAGCUGGAUCAUCAAACGUUCCCACUGCGAGCUGAACUGAUGGUGGUUGCCAGUAGCAACCUAGGAGUCCCAGACGACGUUGCUGGUACGAGCUUUGAUAAGGUUCUGGAUAGGGAAUCAAGCCUGAAAAUGAAACAGAAAAAUAAGUUGGCCGAGGUAAGAAGUCACCAGCUUACUUGCAUCGCACAAGAGAUCUUGAAGAUUCCUUUGAUGAGGAGGCAACCGAGUUUCCUGUUAAAGAAAGACAUUCAGUUCGCACAAGAAUAAUACCGGACAGGAACAACACUCAGGACUAAAACUAAAUAAAAGCACUUACAUCAUUUUAUUUACCUGAUCGAGAACGUUUCCAGAAAAAACAAAAAUAAUAAAUAAUAAAUGCAAAAACAAGAAGCUAUUGGAUGAAAGAUAAAAAGCAAAAUCUUCCUGAUACCUGAUCGUAUUACGCACCUUCGUCGUCUUGACUACCAACGAGGUUCCAUCCCUGAAAAUUAGCAAACGUGAAAUCCAGGAUAAAUGGAUAUGAGAGCAAGCAUACGGUGAAAAUUGUCAUCGACAAGAUUAUAAUCUCCAGUCUCAUAUGUUCUUACUGGAUGGCCCUGCCAGAUCUAAAACAAUCAAGUGAAAUUCGUCAUCAUUCUUUUGAGCGAACACACUUACAUCCCAGACAGUAUCUCUGCCAUCGUAGCCCGGACUCAUUGCAAUAUGAGGAUUGCAUGGAUGUACAUCUGGCACGUAAGUCUCGGCAAUCUGCACAUCCAUGUUAUUCCAUGAGAGCCCCAUAAGAUGUCUUUACCUUGUCAUCCUUGAAAAAGUCGACGGAAGAAACUUUGAUUGGCUCUGCACAACCACUGGAACAAAGGACGAUUGAUGUCAACAAAGACGCGAACCUGAACUGCACGUAGUUAACUUCUUGCGCCCCAAACCUGUUCAAACAAUUGCUAGAAAUAUAAACAGUCCACUUUUAAUGCUUACCCUGGCAAGCUUGUCCGAAUUCCCAGUGACGAAAUAUGAUCCAUCUGCAUUAAACACACAGAACUGAAUCUGAUUCGUAUCCUGUGCUCCAUUCUCAGCUCCUGCAGCUGGAAACAAGCUUUUAGAAGACCAAAAAAACAUCGGCAGACUCUUUACAUUCGGGCUCGACAUCCGGCUUCGGCAUGUAGACACGUGAAUUGACAGAGGUUCCGUCUUAAACUUGAUGGCCGUUACGUGGUCACGAAGUGUUGCAACCGGAACACCAUCUGGUAAUCCCCACUAAAGGCAGAAGCAAAACGAAUCAAAACAAAAAAACAGGAGGAAUCGUUAGAAGCUGAUGCAACUAAAGUGUUCGAACUACUUACAGACAAAUCGGCUAUCUCCCACAAAAAAGCCAGGUUUUUAAGCACAGUAAUCGAAACCAGCCAGCCAGCCAGGUUCUUGCAUAGUCCAAACCUCCGCAGCUACGAAGGCGAAGCCUAUUUUCUACUGCGAUGCAUUGCAAAUCCACCACCAAGUUCGAGAGCAUGAACUUGGUCAGCUUGCCAAUGCAUUGGUCUAUUCGCUUCGUAGAGAUACUUGUAGCAUUUCUUUGCUCCGCUGCCAGUGGUUUGCUCGGAUCAGCAACGGCAAGAUUCGAAAAGAUUCGAAAAGACAAGGCUUACAUUCCAAAAGCGAGAAUGCUCCUGAUCCCGAAAGGGGAGGAACGUCUGCUUGGGAACUUUCGCAUCACGCGAACAAGCAGUUGCUGCAAGAGCUUGUUGUCAACGUUCUUACACCUGCAAAUCAUCUCCUUGUCAACAUGGAAAACCAAUAAAUGAUUUCGCGACACACAGUACCUCGGCAACUUGCGCGUCGCGGAGUGGGAACGACAAACAUCGUCAUUUUCAUCAGCGGUGGGCGUCCCAUUCCUGGAGAAAAAUUCAUGGUACCUCCGGGGCAAGAACUUGUGCUGUAGGAACUCGUUCCAGAGCUGGCCAGUGGCUCUCUCGCAAGGGCCGCGACUCAGGAAAUGCAUGAUAAGGAAAUGGAGAUCACCUCGAUCUCCUCGUUCAGCUCUCCAUGUUUCAGGUCCGGUGAGUCUGCACGAGCCGUCAGCUAAGCUGCAUGAACCCGUUGAAGACAGAAGCUUGAAAGCUUUGAUUGAAUCGUGUUCCAUUAUCACACAAAGCAAUUGAAGUGUACCCAGUGAAAUCCGGGUCUGCUGAAUGAAUAGUUCACCUACAAGAAAGUACUAUUAGACACUGCCAAGCCACGUCCAUGUCUAUGUUCUUGCCCGGAAAUGACUUACUAUCAGAAGCUCAAGACAUGAGUCAUUUUAUUUCGAGAAAACGAAGAUCCGAAUCAGAAGCUUUUUCCCUGUCGAAAAACAAAAUAGUUUUGUCGAGCUUUCUAUGAAUCAACUACCGAUCACUGAACAUGGUCAGCAGCAGCAGCGCCACUUCUGUGCGGUUUGCACACCACUGGAUGAUGAAAUAAUUUCAAGAUUCGCACAAGUCAGAACUUCACAAAUGCUUACCGGAUUAGCUUGGCCCUGGGCUGCCUCAGCUCGCAGAGCAUCUCGCAGCAUCCUCAGUUCCUCCCUCAAGGCACCAAAAUCCUGUAUCACCUGCCUGAGGCUGGGAAGGUCCGCCUUGAGAACUCCACGGAGAGCCUGCAGAUCCUCCUUGAGAGCUCCACGGAGAGCCUGUAGAUCCUCCUUCGCUGCUCCCCUGGUUGAAGAAGCCAUGGUGAUGACGCUCUUGGUGAGGAGGUUGAUGAUGAGCAUGGUUGCAAUGCAAGUUGCCGCAAUGACAACACAAGCACCCGCGACCGCCACAAUCACAACAUCCAUGGAAGCUGCGGAGACGACGAACCCUAGAUUUUACAUGGAGGGUUGCUCACACUAACCCUGGCUAUGGCCUUCCGCGCGAUUAAUAAUCUGAGCUCGAGAGUUGGUAAAAUAGAAGUUCCGAGUCGGAACGUAGGUCGAGGCUUCUUGAGAGGGCAGCCGGUACCAGAAAUGGGUCUUGGUAUCAAAGAGACUAAUUGACUGUUUUAAUUUUCUUUAGUUUAUUUUCAAACAGAUGAACUGCGAAAUGGGACGUCAAUUCAAAACAUGUUGGAAGAUCCAGAUUCCUUGCUGGCUACAAGUUGUUGUAAGCUAAACGAAUGCUAAUCUGUAGGAAGAGUUUUUCUUCCUGGCUAACUAGAGAACCUAACUGAAACUCUGGAGAACUAGUUUACCAAUAGAGAGAGUUUGAAGAGCUUGAAAACCUGUAAUGUGGUUUUGGAAAUUCUUGGUUAUUGGUAGGCUCGUAAAGGCCCUGGGUGAACCAGAUAACCUUUAGUGUAUGAGCUCCACAAUGCUCAGAUAUGGAACUGAAGGUAUUAGAUUGUGGAAGCGUUGAAAUGCAGGCAUAACCGAAAGGCUUGGUGGAGUGAAACCACCUCAUGUUUGGAUAGAACUUGUCCCUGUGAGAGAUGUGGAUUUCUGGUUGUCCGAGUUUUUUUAUUAUCUAGGAUUAGUGGCUUGUGGGGGAAAUAACUAACCGAAUGCUAGUGAAUAUGCAAGUCACUGAAGGCAGCUGAAACUCUAUUAGGUGGUUUUCAUCAAAGAGUGUAAUUUCACUUGGAGAAACAAGAUGGUAUGUCUUUUGGCAAUUAAUGGGCGAACGUGGUGGGUGGAGUACCAGUUGUUUUAGUACCCUAUUGAGAGUGGAGAGCACUGACGCUACUAACCACUUAGUGCCAAAGGAACAAAGGAAACCUUGCAAUGCGAAUUAAGCUGAGUCUAUUGUGCCUGGUAUCUGGUUUAUUAGAACUUGUGUAAUAAGAGUUUAAAUAUUGACAAAAUGAAAUUUGUUGCCAUUGAAAGAGUAAUGGGACUUAGCAUAGAGGUGGAUGAAGUCCUCUUUUGCUUUGUUGAUAUAUUACUUAAUUGUUAUCUAUCUUCAUAGGAGCGACCUCGGUGGGUGAAGAAGUACCAAAUGCAAAGGAACUCUUGGUUGGGAGGUCUUAGACCUCCUUAGCAAGUUGUGAAAAAAGCUAAUGGGAAUGGCACUUGCAGGUCGAACAGGCAAGCAGUUACGUUGACGAGUUUAUGGCCUGGUAUAUGAAGAUGCACGAGCUAGAUAUGUACCAGAGGAUGCGUGAGAACAAGGAGUUAGUGCGACAAUUUUACAUUCUCAGUUAUUUGAGUUCGAAAAGAAUGACAUUCAGGCAAGUCUUUAAUUGGUUUCUUUAUUUAUAUUUAUCUAUUUAUGGUUUUUCAAAUGGAAAAAUGAUGCACUCCCUGAAAAUUUUGGAUGUAUGUGGAGCAGGCUCAUGUGUGACAUUAGCGAUUUUGAAGUGUAGUACUGUCCUUUCUGGCUGGAUUUCCUUCCCGGUGGCUGUCCGGAAUGGGAGAUGGCCAGCUACAAGAUACACAAGUCAGCAAGAUCGGCCACCAAGGGCAGCAAGGGCCAGGCUUUUUCUUCAGCCCCGUCGCCAGAUCGGAAGAAGGUGAUAUGUUGAGGAUGCUGAUGCCAGAGAACGGAAACGGGAGUUGGGAAAUCAUUCAUGCAGAUUCAGGAAACCUUGCAGUCCAGUAGUACUUCAAAGCUGGGACCUUUUCCGCCAGGACUAAAGGAGCUUGAGGAUUGGAUUGUCAGUCACAGGUCAAGCUGAACUGUUCACUUUUUUGUGCAAAGUCUCUACCGAAAUGUGUCCAGGGAGCUGUUCAUCUUCUCAUCAUCGAUUCGCCUACUAGAUGCGUUGCUGAGCCGGGGGUGGUUGAUCAGUAUACGGAGUUCUCGGAUGCUUUACUGAAGAACUUGGUGAACCCUGCUUUCGGGAUACUAGACAGAGCUGGCUACAUGGUGGUGUUUGUGCUAUCGGAUGAUUUGCCGGCUUUGAAUAACACUGCAGAAACUUGCAAGCUGAAGUUCCUGCAGACAAACUACGUGCACACGGCAAGGUCCUGGGGAUACCGUAUUUUUAGAAAGGUUAUUCUGAGUUAAAUGGCGACCAGCACAAAUCGUUGAUGUGGCAGGACUCGCUAACGUGGUGGGACUCGCUGAUAUGGCAGGACAUGCUGAUGUGGCGGGACUCACUGACACGGCAGGACUGGAGAGCAGAGGUAAAACAAACUCUGUGUUGAGUUAAGUAGCGGCCAACACAAAUCGCUGAUGUGCCAGGACUCCUGGAAAGGUAACUCAUCCUUUCGAAAUUGGUACUUUUUAAUGUGGAAAGCAUCAUUGCCAUGUGUAUUUUCGGUUCCCCCUACUCCAAGGUUGCAAAGAACAGGGACAUCCUGAACACAUGCUACACUCCUUGACGAGCCAGAAGAUUUCCAGUUCCCAUGGUAUACUAUUGUUUGUUAGCAGAUAGCAGCGAAAAUAGUUGAAGAGUUAUGUUUAUACUAGCAAUUGCCAGCAAAUGCUGGGUGGUUGGCAAAUUUGAUGCCAUUUGAAGAGGUUUCCUGAGCUUAGCUAUGUUUGCUAUUUCAACUGAAAGACAUUCUCUUGACAAAAUGUGUUAUAAGCAUUAUAUAAGCUAGAUUAGAUCACUAUUGAGUUGCAUUCCUCCAUUUUGAACACAAAAAGCCCAAAGAAUACUUCCAAGUCCAUCUUUGGUGCAGGUGUUGCUACUUGUUCCACAGCCCGCUAGAGAGGUUCCUGGGAUGAGCUGAAAACCAUUAUAUUGCAAUGAGAGCUGCACUCAAGAAGCAAUAGGAUGAAAAGUAUACUUCUGCCAUUAGCAACUUAAUAGCAUGUUGCCAUAACUAAAAUGGGACACCAUCCAAGGCACACCAGUCAAUGCUAGCUUUGUUGUGGUGUGCACUUGAAACUCACAAUUGCAAGUCAAGGGUGGCUGAGUAGAUAGUUUUGUGGAAUCAUGGUUAUAUUUAGAAUUGUGCCAUGUAUUUGUCAAUCUACUUAAGAAUUUCAGCAUAGACUGUAUUCACAGUGUAAAAGUGUUGAUCAUGUGGUAUAAGAUUGCCUUGAAGGGGGGUUACAAGCACUUGAACACGAAGUUGUUCAAGUGAUCUACACCUUGACAAAGCAACAUAAAGUUGACCAUGUGUGAAAACAAGUUGGGGGAGGUAAAUGCCAACAUGGUUGAAAGUUUGGCCUUGGGCUUUAGAAAUAAUUAAGCAAUAACCCAGACGAACUGGGAAUUGUCUUUGGGACAUCUUGAAAGGGAUUUCAAUAUCAGAAGAUGUAAGGGUAAUAUGUGGAAUAAAAACUCGCGAUCCCUUGAAUUGUCCCGUGAUAAUUUCACAAUCUAAAACGUUUUGAAAUGCUUGCUUGAGAAUGAGGUGAGUGUCAUUGCAUAAACCAAUUUGUGGAGAUAUGUUCCUAAGAAGAAUCAAAAUCACAUUUUUUUUUAGAAUUAAUUUGUGUGGUGGUAGUCCCGAUGGGGUGAUUGAAUUUAAGAAUUCAAUUGGGAACUCUUUAGGGUGAUAUGAGUCAACCGUGUCAAUGCUCAAAUAAACAUAUGGAUCACCUGGUAGUCUUCCAACAAUGUUAUUAUUUAUUCUAAAUGUGUCAUCAUUGAGUGGGGUGAGAAUAACCUUUGAUGUAGUUGUAUAGGUAUUUAUAAUAUCAUCGGUAUUUGGGAAAACAAAGUUUACAAUAGGUGUAGAGAUAGAUAAUGCAUGUGGUAUUUUGAUAAUAUUUGGUGGGAGACAUGGCAACUGCAAACUACUAUCAUCAUUGCCAAGUUUGAGAAGCCAUUCAGAAAAACAAAGAUUGCUUGAAUGCAUAUUCUUUGUUAGUGUUAGUGUUGUAAAAAGUGACCAUAGUCUAUUCAUUUUAAUUGAGCUUGAAAUAAUAAAGGUUCUAUGGCCAUGGGGAACAACAGGAAAGGUUUGACGAAAGUCACCACUUGUAAUCACUAUAACGCCUCCAAAUGGUUUAGAAUUACAUUUGAGAUGCUUUAAACAUUUAUCAACCACAGAGAAAGCAUGUGUGUGGACCAUACUAAUUUCAUCCCAUGUGAGAACAUUUGCUUGUUUAAUGGUUUUUCCAAUAUCACUAUUAAUUGUUAAAGCAGAGACAGAAGUUUCAUUUAAAGGAACAGGAAGUUUAAAAGUUGUAUGUGUUGUUUGACCAUAUUUUAGCAAAAUGUUUGCAAUCCCAGUCCAUGCCAUACUGAUUACUUUUAUUUUUUAAAAUUGUAAUGCUGUAAUGAUGGUAUUAAGUAGAAAAGUUUUUCCAGUACCAUCAAUAAAGAAACAUUGAUGUUGGUUAGUGUCAAUGGCAUUUAUAAUGAGUUCAAAAAUAUAACGUUAUUCAUAACUGAAUUGAUUUAUGUUUGCAUUUAUUUGGUCUUGUGAUGGGUCAUGGAUCUCUAUAUUAAGCAUGUGUUUGAUAAUGGGAGUAAGAGUUGGGAGUGGUAAACCAAAAUCACAAUUAGAUUUAUUGUGUAGUUGGAAUUUUGAAUUAAUAUCGACUAAAACAAUGUCAAAAUAGUUUAUAUCAUUUCUAGCAUAAUCCUCAAACAUAUCAAUUUUGAAUUGAUCCCAUAAUAGAAUUGGAUCUUUUGGUGAACAAUACAAAUAAAUAAAAACAAAUAAUUGUCUUAAUUGGGAUGGCAUUUUAAAAGUAGAAACUUCUUGCAUGCAAUGUUGCCAUUCUGAAUCAUCUGCUAAAAGUCCCAUUGCCAUAACUACUUGUUUAAAAGAGGAGAAAAUAACAUCUUUGACAGUACAUAUAUCCUCAAAUGAUAUAACACCUUUUUUAUGGAAUAAUAUAAACCACAAGUGGUACAACUCAUUAUUAGAAGGAGAUAUGGAAUACAUUCUUGGUAUGAGUUUAGCUUUUCGCUUGUGUAAUUGCCAUUUAUGAGAGGAUUUGUUAUAUGUGUAAUGUAACGAAAUUUGAGCAUAUGUAUAUUGCCUUGCAUUAAUAUAUUGCAUGUUUAAAUUGAACUAUUGUGUAAACAUUGUUCCAUUUUGAGUGGCUCUUUCUAGUGCUUCUUGUUCAUGACUUGGUUUGAAAUAGACAUUUUGAAAAUUGGGUAAAUGAAUUGGAAGGUGUAUAAUAGUUAGUGAUUUAUCAUGCAUACGAAACUUAAAUAUAUGCCACAUAGCUUCAGGAGCAGAAAUAUAUCGAGCAUCGACAAAACUUGAGAUUUCAUCCCAAUUUAAAGUCCCUCGUUCUUCAGAUGCAAUUAGGAAUUCUAAUGUUGCACAAUCAUAACCUUUGUAUACAUAUUGAAAUAAAUAUUUAAUACUUUUAAUAGAAGCGCAGAUCUCUACAUUAAUGUGUGCUUUAUAUUUUUUACAAAGGUAUUUAUUAUAAGGAACAACCCAUCUAUUGUCAAUAGUACAACCAUUCUUUAUGAAAAUGCGUCUGUUAUUGGGUCGGUAGUAAUCAGGAUAACCAUCAACACAAUAAAUGGUUUCAACAUUAAAUUCUUUUGGAUAAUUUUUAGAGCAUUUAUUAUUUUCCAUAUAAGGGCUUCUAGGAUUUAAAUUACCAUAUAGACCAUGUAUCAUAUGAUUUAUAAUUAUGUUAUGCAAUUCUGGUUCUAGCAGUGGGUGUGGCAACUAUGCGGUGACAAAUUCAUCAACCGAAUCACGAUUUCUUAUCUUGUCUUCACUUGAUAACAUUGCUAAGAAAUGACAAUGAGGCAAACCUCUUUUCUAGAAUUCAAUAACAUAAACAUAUGCUAUGCACUUCCCAAAAAUUCCUUUGAUACUUAUGUCAUGUAGGAAUUCUUUAAGCUUUAAGUUGAAAACUCUUGAAAUAAGAUUAGGUCGAUCCUCAGGUGAUUCAUUCAGUUGUAAGUUUUGCACAAUUUCAGGCCACUUUGGGUUGUAUGUAAAUAUAAUAAAUAAGUCAGAUUUCCAAAAUGUGUGACAAUAGCAAUAGCAUCUUGAUAAUAUUGUUGCAUUACUCGUGGGCUACCAAGAAAUGUAGAAGGCAAAAUUAUAACUUUUCCAGGUUCAGCAUUAUUAGUAACAACUCUGUUGCUAACAUAGUCCAUAAUACCUGUGUAGUAAUCCACUUUUAAGUGUUUUUGAUAAGUACGAAAGAAAUUAAGGUUGUUAGAUUCAACCUUUACAUAUGCAUCAACUAUAAAUUGUUGAGUGAGUUUCUCAGCAUGUAGCAAUUGAUCAUAAAGGAAAGAGUUGCCAAUGCUAUCUCGUUGAGAUAAUCAAUAUGCAUAGUACUGGAGUAGCGUUACAUGCAACUCAUUGUGAUAGAUUUUUUCAUGCCAACCUUUAUCACCAAAUGGUAAAAGUAAAGGAUAAACCAUAGGAUCAUAAUUUUCAUUAAGAAUAGAGAUUUUUGUUGGCUGUGAGUUAUAUGGAUGUAUGCAUAUUUCUCUAUCAAGAGAUGGCUCACCCUCAUCAAUAGUGAAAACAAUAGCAACAUCAUUAGUCCGUGGUAAAUUAUAACAAUGUAGAUUAAUACUUUCACUUCUAACAAUCAUAUAAACACCAUGUUUUGGAGUUCCAUUGCAAAUUGAGCGAUAUUGUUCUUGUGAUUCAAGAUUAUACAUCAUUUGAAAAGCUUGUGCAUACGGGUUUAUUGUUCUUAGCAAUUUAUCUAAUUGUAAUAAUAAAUUAGAAUCACAAUUUGUGUUGAAUGGGUUUUGCUUUCUAAUAUUUGUAGCCUUAGAUGCGUCAAGCAUGUAAAGUUGUCCAUAUGAUGGUGGCACGUUAGCAGCAGGAUAUGCUGUAGCAAUAUUGUGAUAAAUUUGACCAUGUAUUCUAAAGCAAUAUGAGCCUUUACCACUUAAAUUAUCAAUAUUAUCACCCAUUGAUGCAAAAGCUAAAGCACUGUUGAAAUUUCUUAUGUUAAUUUUAAAAUUGAAGUUUUUAUUUUCAUUAAAAAGCAUAUGCAAUAUAGUAGGUAAAGAUGAAAGUUGGGGAAGGGAAACCUUUCCAUUCUGGCAGCACAUUGAUUUUGACUCAUUUUCAAAAUGUAAUGCACCACAAAAGACAUAUAUGGAUGACAUAUUUCCAAUAUUAAACGUAUGUAUUUUAUGGUCAUUAUAAUUCUUUUGAUGUGCUAAUUUAUAGACUGUAUAACUGUGAUGAUUACAUAUAUUUGUAUUAGUUUCAUUAGCAUUUUCAAGGUUUAUAUUUGUAUGACCUUCAUCAGCAUAUGCUAUGUUUGUAUUAGCAUUGUCAAGAUUUGAAGUAAUUUUUUCAUUAGCAUGUUCAAGGUCUAGAUUAGUUUCUUCAUUAGCAUAUGCAAGGUUGUUGUGAAUAUGAUUAUAUGUGCUAGUGUCAGUAAUUGGAGGCAAAUGGUGACGUAUGCCUCUGAAUACUUUGCAAAGCCAAGGCAUAUUUGCUAGGGAUGAUAAAUGAGAUGAAAUAACCUAUCUAGUGUAAAUAUAAACUUAAAGCAAGAAGUAAAAAAAGAAAGUCAAAGCACUUAUCUUAAAAUUUUCAGAGAUUCUAAGUAAAAGCCUGAACUCACAUUCUUACACUGGAAAAAAAAAAAAAAAGACUAUACAAUGAGAGCACAAUCUGUACACACCUUAAUCUGUAAACAAAAGCAACCAAUAAAACCUUGGUGAGCAGCCGUGAGACGUGGGUGGAGUUUGCAAGUUAGAGAACUUACCUUGAGCUUGUUCUCUCUUGCAAAAGGACAGGGCUAAUGGUUUUGGCCGUGAAGGCUAGCUCUGCCAUUGGAUAGCAUCCACAAACCCAAAUGAAGACGUCUCAAAUUUUCACAGCACACAAAAAUCCAGAUUGUUGGGGUUGGGGGCCAAAUUAGUGGCUGCCGGCCUGACGCUGAACACAGACCUCUACAGGAAAAAGCACAAUUGCUGCAAUUGCCACUGAUCCAAGCAAGUGUUAGCUCAAUUGCGGCAGGGCAUCUAGGGCGAGCUAAAAAGAACGGGCACAGGGGCAGGACACCACUGGUGACACAUGUCACAUGCCUAUCUUGCCUCGCUUGGAGCCAAUGACCACCGGAGCUGUGGUGGCUCUCUCGCACUUACUGCACUUUUAAAAGCCUGAAACGCAGCUCCAAGGAAGUAUGUGUAUGUCGUUCUGCUGUCCAGAAUGGUGCCCUACUUGCCAUCAAAAACUUCGGGCUUUAAGCGCAACAAAUUCCUUUGAGCAUCAAGUUGUAUUAAGGACUGGAAAAAAAGACAAAGCUCCACACCAGCACCCAACCUUAGCACUAACAGCAGCUCUGCGGAGAACAGCACCGAAUUGUUCUCUAAGUUCGCAAGAUCAGUGUCGCAAGGCUCCUCCUAGGACGGGUUUCUCAGUGCUGGCCUCUUUAGCAGACUUAACAGGAGUGGUGGCGAGAGUGCCACCACCACCACCACCACCACUUAGACAUAGUCUCUUUGUCAUUGUUGUGGAGAAGAAAAAAACUAGGAUGAUAGGAAAACUAAUGCUUUGCUACUGUUGUUUAUAGCUUUCAACUCUAACAAAGUCAUAAAGAAUGAACGAAUACCUACGAUGGGGAUCAGACGACGUAAAAACCAUGUCUUUUGGAGGCUGAAAACCACUGAGUGUCAUCGCACCACCCCUCUUGUCCAUCCCUCCACUGCUGCCACUAGGUGGACCACUGGGCCAUUUACUCGCUCUCCUCUAGAGCUACGCCCUUUCCCUAAAGCAGCAGUGGAGAUCCUCCAUGCCAGGAGUGACGGUGGCAAGACUGUAGCUCCGGAUCUGCUGCUGGUGCCUGUUCCUGCGGGGAUUGCUGUGGCGAUUGAGCAGGAGAUCUCUGAGUGGAAGAUCUCUGCCUAGGAGAUCCGGGAGCCACAGCUUCACUGACCAUUUACUCGAGUGCAUCGCUCUCUUGCCCUUUCCCUAAAGCAGUGGCGCUCCACAUCGAGAGUGACGGGGCGAUUUGUGCAGGAAAGACACAUGUCGCUGUGCCUUCUUCUCCCGCCCCACGCAGCUUGGCCGACUCCCAUUGGCAGAGAGCAAAUAUCAGAAAAAUUUCUUGCGCAACCAUGGCUACUGACCCUGGCCCGGGCCUGGGAUCCAACGGUCGGGGAGCCUCCCUGCUAUCACUAGAUUAUCUAUCACAAUAAGGAGGAGUUGCUGAAAUUUCUGGGCUGCCAAAUCCAGCCAAUCGCAGCCGUCCGAUGGGGGGUAACUGUAAAGGGGUUAUUUCUUUAACCACAUUUUAGUGAAUAAUCGCGCUGAUGUUUGCUCUUGGCCAAUGGGAGGCAGCCAAGCCAUGUGGGGCAGGAGAGGAAGGCGCAGCGACCCGUGUCAUAUGCAUGUGUUCUGUAACAGAUCUUGCUGGAAUUCCAGCCCUCCUGCUAGAGCUCGCAGAGAAAAUCCAGUGCCGAUCAAUGCAACCCGGGAUUGUGGGCGAUGCCAGUGAUCACUGCUGUCCAGGAGACUAGAUUUGGAUCCAGCAUGGCGCGGAAGAUCGCGAUCGCGGGGCUAAGAUGGCCGAAUUGGAUGUAGCUCGUGAGGAUGGUAUUCCAGGACACUGCGUUGCUCUCACUCGCCAUGGAGAGGAGGAUCUUUGCCUUGGGCAAAUGCCCAAAAUCCCAAUCAUUGAUGUGUAUGUCCAGAUUGUGGAUGUUCAGAGGUGUGGUGGAUCUUCUCCCAAAUCGCAGUGAAACCGAUCUUAGCGAUGGCCGAUGGGGAUAUGUUGAGUUCACAUCUCUCGAAGCUUUCCACAAGGCAAACCGGUGGCUAAACCAGAGGGGAAAAACUGAGAAGAAGAUCCGCAGCUUGGAAGAGGAAAAGCGCGAGGAAACAGAAGAGGAGAAGCACGAGGAAAAGUCUUGGAGUGUUAGCGCGCUCCGGAUUCUGAUCAGACUCACCGAGCAGCUUUACGAGGAGCUCAACGGCAAAUCCAGCGACCGAGAGAGGAUCAAGCGAGCGCGGAAGAUAAUGUGGCUCCAGAAAAUGCUGUAUAGGAUCUCGAGUGAGAGGAAACCGUGGAAGGAGCUUCAGUCCGGCGAGGUGGUCUUCGUGAAGGAGGCAAAAGAACUAUAUGAUCGUGCAGGGAGAGAUUUUGUUGCCGAAUUCAAGAGGAGACAGGUAAGUUUGAUAUACCUUCCAGAUUCCAGAUGGCUGUUAGCUAAUAAUGUGUUUGUUGUAGAGAGCUGGAGUGAACGAUGAGUGUUUGUUUUGUCGGAACCAUGAUGGCAAGAAGAUGAUCGGCCGGGCUGGAGCGAACUCUAAGACGACUAGACCCUAGGUUUACCUGAGAAGAGAACACGAGAAAACUGUUCUAAGCACGUCGAAGAAACGAGAAAUGAAGCUGGCUCCUAGCUCGAGAAGUUGGCUGCAAGGAUUGGUCAACUGGAGGCCAGUGCUCGGACUCUAACAUCGGAGAAGCCAACUCUCAAGAGUCAAAUCCAGAAGUUGGAUCCGGUAAGGCUGUCCAUGAUAGUAGUGAGGAACGACGUAAACCAGUGCCAGAUGGCUGCAAGAUGGCGAGAAGACAAUAUAGCUGAAGCUGCUUGUGACUGGGGUUUCAGAUGGCUGCGGAGACUAUAAGACAGACUAUGCUAGACGUUCUCUCUCAUCUGGUGGAAUGAGGGAAGUGUUCGGACAGGAGCCCCAGGGGAUAAUGGCUGAUGGAGUCGUGUUGAGAGUGGCCCUGUGCCACGUGGCUAGUCCACGUGGAGAGACACGAGUCUUCACCGGUUCACCAUGUCACACAUAUGUACAUUUUCCAUUCCAUAUAUGCUAUGACAGAUCUUGAGCACCAUCACACGGUUUCACCUUUCAUUAGAUGGUAUUGGAGCAAUGCCUGGGAGAGCAAGAAGAAUUCGAAACCGUAGGAUCAGGGCGACACUUGCUAGGGUGAAUCGGAGCCUCGACAGAGGCGUGCCCUAAUCCAAACGCUCCAGGCCUUGCAAGAGGCACUGGACGACUAAGAACCUGGACCUAGACUUGAACGAGUGGUGGGAUUGGGUGUCAGCACCCAUGGCAGCCACUGUUCCUACAAAUCCGCCUCCAAAUCCACCACCUAUUUCCCCUCCCAUCACAAAUCCGACUGUGCCUACAGCGGAUAUCGUUUCAGUGGACGCAAAUCCACCAAAAUUUGAUGGGAGGAACUGGCGCUUCUGGAAGACAAAAUUCGAAUCCUAUAUGGAUGAACGAGGCCUCUGGGACAUCACCACAGGAACUGAGACACUUCCAGAUACAGCUACAGUGGAUGAAACUGCGAAGUAUCGCAAGAAGGACCGGAGAGCUUUGGGCAAAUUCCAUGCAGCGCUGGAGGGGCGAGAAUUCCAUUGCAUUGGACGGUGCAAGAGUGCAAAGGAAGCGUGGGAGGCCAUGAAGCAGACUUACCAGAUCCCUUCAACAUCCCAUCGCAUAUUUUUACGGAAGCAGCUUCAUGCAUUGGUGAUGGCUGAAGGGGAUGACCUCAAGGAUCAUCUUGCUGGUGUGAGAACCAUCUUAGAUGAUCUUAAGGAUGUGGGAGCAAACAUAGAGGAUGAAGAAGAAGCAGAGCUGGUGCUCGUCACACUUCCUCCAUCCUUUGAUCCUCUCAUACGUAGCCUCACUACCACUGGAACUCCUCUAACCCUGAAUGGCGUGAUCAGUAGCCUCCAGGACGAUGAUCUGAGACGAAGAGCAACAACAGGAUCAGAGGCCGUUGCAUUCUACUCUUCUCUCAGGAAAGAAACAGAGAACAAAGGGAAACAAGGAGCCUCUUCAUCCAAGAAGCCCAAGUGUUCUCAUUGCAACAAGAAAGGCCAUGACGAAGCUCAAUGCUGGGUGAAAAAUCCAUCUCUCAAGCCUGUAAGGAACAAUGCAAAGAAAAAGGUGGUACACGCCUUCAUCUUGUCACGAGCUAUGGCUGUGGCAGCACUGUCUGCAGAGUGCAUCUACCUGGAUUCUGCUGCUACAGACCAUAUGUUCAACAGUGAUAAGUACUUUGAAGCCUAUGUUCCUACAGCCACAGAAGAGUAUGUCAUCGUUGGCAAUGCCCAGCAGCUUGCUGUGAAAGGAGUUGGAACCAUCAAGUUCACUUUACCACAAGGAAUAGUCGUAAAGAUCCACGAGGUUCUUUAUAUUCCUGGUUUAUGUGCUAAUUUGUUCUCUGUGGGACAAUUUGCUGAGGAUGGGUAUCAGUUCGCCAUUACACCUCGCCAAUUCCAGCUGAUCUCGACCACAGGAGCCAUCCUCACAGCGUCCCGGCCUGGACGGCGUGACCUCUACCGCCUUACCAUGCUGCCAGAUCUUGCUGGACGGAGUCUGGGCCUACACGCACAAAAGACAACGACCAGUCACUCACUGGAGCUUUGGCACGCACGCCUGGGGCAUCCUAGUGCUGAUAGAAUCAAGCAGCUCGCACGCGAGCAGAUGGUUGAAGGUCUAGACCUGGACCCAAGAGCCGUUCUUCCAUUUUGCCAGGGCUGUCAGCUAGGAAAAUCUACUCGCCAACCUUUCCCCAAGACUGGAGCAUCUCGAGCUACAGAGCUCAUGGAACUUGUACACACUGAUGUGUGUGGCCCGAUGGCCACCACAGCAGUGGGAGGUAUCCAAUACUUUAUCAGUUUCAUUGAUGACUACAGUCGUCGCACUAUGAUCUACCCUAUGGCUCGCAAAUCCCAAUCGUUACACUACUUCCAGACUUUCAAGGAUAUGGGAGAAACACAAACUGGGAAAAUGCUCAAGCGAUUGAGAAGUGAUGGUGGAGGCGAAUUCACUUCCAAUGCUUUCAGCUGUGUGAGCAAGGAGGGAUUGUGCGAGAACUUACAACGCAAGAGACUCCACAACAGAAUGGCGUAGCUGAGCGCAAGAAUCGCACACUAGUGGAGAGUGCUCGGGCAAUGCUACUUUCCAGUGGUUUGCCUCGCAGCUUCUGGUUUCACGCUGUCUUGACGGCGAACUAUCUCCAGAACCGGCUCCCCACUGACAUCACUCCAUGGAGUGACCUACAGUUACGCAUCUGAGAAUAUUCGGGUGUGAAGCGUGGGCACACAUCCCUGAUGGAAUGCGCAAGAAAUUGGAUCCCAAGAGCCAGAAGGCUGUGUUUGUGGGCUACAGCCUCGAUCACAAAGCCUAUCGUCUCUGGAAUCCAAUCACGAAGCAGGAGAUCCUGAGCAGAGAUGUGGUUUUCAACGAGAAUUCCUUUCUUCCUUCUAGUCAAGGUUCUACUUCCAGACCUACCUUGACCGAAGAAAAUGACGUUGAAGCGGAACAAGAUCAGUUGACUGUCGGCACGAUCACUGUGCCGCUUCAAACAGUCCCUACACAACAACCCAUGCCCACUUCUACUCCAACACCACCAACCCCGCCGCCUCCUCCAGAUCCUCUACGCAGAUCGAUCCGCACAAGGCGGCCUACUGAGCAUCUCAUCGAGACAAUGGUCUCCUCUCGUGCAGCUGGGACUCCUACUGUUCCGAGGACCUAUGGAGAAGCCAUGGCCUCACAGGAAGCGUCUUACUGGCGUGUAGCAAUGGAAGCCGAGAUUGCUUCACAGAAAAAGAACGAGACACAUGUUCUUGUUCCAACUGUGCCUUCCAAUCGCCAGAUUAUCAAGAGCAUGUGGGUGUAUGCUCUGAAGCUUAAUCCUGAUGGCUCGGUUCGCUACAAGGCGCGAUUGGUGGCGAAAGGAUGCUCGCAAGUUCCUGGACUUGACUACAACGACACCUUUGCUCCAGUGGUUAAGCAUUCUACUCUUCGUUCCUUGAUUAAUUUUGCUGCGGUGGGAGACUUUGAUCUGGAACAGAUGGAUGUGACCACGGCGUUUCUUUAUGGCGCGCUUGAAGAAGAAAUCUAUAUGGCACAGCCAGAAGGAUUUCUAGCCGCUGGAAAAGAGGAUCAUCUCUGGCUUCUCAAGAAAGCUGUCUACGGCUUGAAACAAGCACCCAGAUCUUGGUACAAACGCUUUGACGAUUUUGGGCUUUUCCCGUAGCGAGGCAGCCCGAAUCUUUAUACUCGGGUGGAGGGUGAAUCAUUUGUGAUCAUCGCUCUUUAUGUUGAUGAUACUCUUGUCAUCCAUAAUCAUCGCUUAAUGUUUCUCCAGGUUAAGUGAGAUCUUUGCAGCCAAUUUGAGAUGAAAACUCUUGGCUCAGCUUCCUACUUUCUUGGCAUGGAACUUGUGCGUGAUCGCUCUCAACGCACUAUCUAUCUUCACCAAGCCAAGUAUAUAGAAGAGAUGCUGGCCAGGUUUUCUAUGACGAGCUCUAAUCCAGUGGCAACACCAAUGGAACUAGGCUGCCAGCUUUCACGAGCCAUGUCUCCUGAGACAGAGGACGACAAGAGAGCCAUGGACUCCAUCCCUUACAGACAAGCUGUUGGCAGUCUCAUGUAUCCAGCUGUUUGUACGCGCCCAGAUAUUUCUUUUGCCGUGAGCAAAGUUAGCCAAUUCCUGGCUAAUCCUGGAUCUCAACAUUGGGCAGCGGUGAAACACAUCUUCAGGUACCUUCGAGGUACUACUUACCUUGGAUUGUGCUACCAGGGAAAAGCGCUUCACGGGCUACUGUGAUGCUGAUUUUGGGGGAGACUGUGACACACGCAAGUCCACCUCUGGCUAUUCGUUUUCCCUGGGCAGUGCGACAGUCUCGUGGUGCAGCAGGAAGCAAAGUACAGUGGCAACCUCUAGUACUGAAGCAGAAUAUUUGGCAGCCUCACAAGCUACCAAAGAAGGUGUGUGGUUACGCUCACUACUUUCUAACCUUGGUGUGAGUGUGAAGACUCCCACUCGCCUCUUCUGUGACAAUCAAAGCUGCAUUGCGUUAGCGGCCAAUCCUCGCUUUCAUUCACGCACCAAACACUUUGGGAUUCAUCAUCAUUUUGUUUGUGAGAAAGUGGAAGAUGGCACAAUUGAGCUGAUCUACUGCGACACGACCACUCAGGUUGCAGAUAUCUUCACAAAAGCACUACCCCGAGAUCGAUUUCAAGUCCAUCGCGAAGGGCUGGGACUUUCUCCACUGAUGAGCAUCAUUCGUGAUGGCCACAGUGCCAGUGGGAGUGUUGAGAGUGGCCCUGUGCCACGUGGCUAGUCUACGUGGAGAGACACGAGUCUUCACCGGUUCACCAUGUCACACAUAUGUACAUUUUCCAUUCCAUAUAUGCUAUGACGGAUCUUGAGCACCAUCACACGGUUUCACCUUUCGUUAGAGGAGUCGAAUCUGCUGCACGAGGUGGAGCUCUCGGCCAGGAGCACAUCGAGAAGAGGAUGGCAGAGUUUGGAAGCGAAAGGCAAGCCUGGAGAAGCAAGUAACUGGCAGCUGAUGGAGAGGAUCACGGGGCUCUAGGCACUCGAGGAGAGAGAGACGUGCCUGAUGCAAAGGAAAGCUUUGGGAGACUGAACAAGGAGCUUGCUUGAUGUUUUUUUUUUUUUUCUUCUCUAGAUUGGAGCUCACUCGAUGCAUUGCAGAUCCUUCAUGCUUGCAAGCUUGUAACAAUCGACCUGAAGAGACCAAGUGCCAGGUAAGUCUCGAGAUUUUGUGUAAAACUUCUUUUGGAUCAAUUAAUUGUUGUGAUUCGUGAAUACUUUCAAAUAAAAUGCAAAGACAUUUUUGAGAACAAGGUGGGAAUUUAACGAUUGUGCAGUGAGCCGCAAGACAAGGUAUUUCCCAGUCCCACCACCCUGGGGCUCUUGGGUGGUGGGAAUACUAAGAUAAUGUAGACAGUAAUUGAUUAAGUAGUAAUAUUUUAAAAUCUUUAUUCUAACAGUAAAUAUAGUUUAUUAGUACAUAAUACUAUGUAAUUACAGUUUCUAUAGUAUAUAUAUUUACAAAAGAUUUUUUUAGUAAUUAUUUUCUUGACUGGAUCUGAGUAAUGUUCCUAAAAACUUAAUGUUUUAUAUUUUAGGUAAACCACAUAAUUAAGUAAUGUCUUGCUAAUAAAAAUGAGUAAUAAUUAUUCUUAGUAAUUAUUCUCUUAAUAUAAGCUUAUCCCAAAUAAAAAUAUAACUUACAUAUAACAUAUUAUUAAUAAUAGAAAUUUUUUUUUUCUGGGUCUAAAUAUAUUCAUAUUUCCAAAUAAUAAUUGUAUCUAAUAUUUUUAUUAGUAUUUCGCGUUGCCAUCAUGCCGGUUUGUGAUCGCACUGAAGUUCUGGGGUAAUGGCCUGGAUCACAUGGUAACGGAACCUCGCUCUAAGCCUAUGGCUAGAGCACCUAAAGGCAAAAGGCGGGGAAAGUACCCAUGAGGCUUCUGUUUCGGAUGUUUUAGCUAUGAACUGGUUUCUCAACAGACUUCAGUUUGAGAUGCAGACUCCGGUACAGCUAGAGGCACCCACCAUGAAUAUUUAUUCUUACUUUUCUCUGGGAAUAUAUUUUGUUCUAAAUAUUUAUAAUAUCAAGUUUACAAGAAUUGACUUUUGUGUUCACCUAACAUUUGCUGGGCAUAAUUCCCUCAAUUCUUCUUUCAAAGUAGAAUACAAUAUUUAUUUUUUGAUAUUAUUCUACUUUUAAUUUUUAAUAUAACAAAAUUAUAACAAUCAAAACAAUAUUUUGCUAAUAGGACAGCACAUGCUGGGCAAGUGCUAGUAGUUUAUAUUUAGUUAUAUAUAUAUAUAUAUAUAUAUAUAUAUAUAUAUAAUAAUUAUGUUUUCAUAAAAUCCUUAAACUUGACACAAUAACCGUGUACCAGAAUAUUCUUUGUAUGGAAAAGAAUAUUAUGUACCAAUUAGAAUUCCCCCUCAGUGGAAUGUAACAAAACAUAGAGUUGACUAUUUUCAUAGAAUAUGUUUUUUGCAAACAUUUUGUUAAUUAUAUGUUAAAUAUUAACCCACUUCGCUUAACUUCACCGACAAUGUCUCCCUUUACUCUGCUUCUGCUUCAAUUGAUUCAUUCCCAGUUGCAAGAGUUCCAAUGAGGUUAUCUCUUUAUCCCGCUGCUGCAUUUACAUUAGCGUUGGAUCUCCUCGCGUUCGGCCUUUCAGUUGGUUCUUCGUCCACAAGGUAUCAUGUAAGCCGCCUUCACUUCGCCCUUGAAUUCACGUUUUCUGGCUGUAGGAAACCAUUCAAGACGAGAUUUCAUCUGAUCACACCAGAAUCAGAUGCAUCCCCAAGAGAGGAGGGGUAGCAAGCGGCUUAGCUAUCGGAGCUGCCGUGUGUUUGCCUCUCGGCUAAAUCACCGCCACAGCCGCCACAAAAUGCACUUGCUGUUCUUCGUCGCUUCAUCGACGCGGAUGCAAGAUCGCUGCAAUUAUCCUCCUCACUCUUUCCUGGUAUUUUCAGCAAGAAAGAAAAAUUCAUUUAUUUAAAAGAUCAACUUUUGUGGUAAUGGCAGGAUCUCUUUCGUGAUCGCUGAGCUCUUCUUGAACACGGCGGCCAGCCUCAGCAGUUACCAAGUGGAAAGGUUUGAAGAAUCUGGUUGCAGCACUGUUCUGCAAGGCGUGAGUGUUGUCGGUGCUGCUUUUACACUCGUCACUUUGCUGCUCAGCAUUGCCUACUUGUCCGUCUACAUGAGCGGCAUGAAGAAACAGAAGAAGAAGACGAGCACCGACGAAACAAGCCGGAUUGUUGAUAUGGAAGUCGCAAAACCAGUUUAGAUAGAAGCUGUAGGCUAGCGCUGUAUAAGAUCGAUGAUUCAGUUGACAGAGAUGUGCGUUUCUAGCACCACCAUCAGCCCAGCUCUGUACGUCUCGCUGCUGAAAUCCUGCGCUCUUACCAGAGACUUAGCCAGAGGGAAACAACUUCACAGAGAGAUCCAUGCGUCCUGGCAAACAAACAACACAGUCCUCUGCAAUCUGCUCGUUCAGAUGUACGGGAAAUGCGGGAGUUUGCCUGAUGCUCGCGACGUGUUUGAUAGUGUUAACCAGCCUAAUGCGUUCACUUGGAACAUCAUGAUCCGUGCAUAUACAGAGAAUGGUCAGUUGCUGCAAGCGAGGAUUUUGUUCGGCAACAUGCCUAUCAAGAAUGUGGUUUCCUGGACGACAAUGCUGGAAGCCUACAGAAGAACUGGUGGUCUUGAAGAGGCUGAGGAUCUGUUGGAAUGUGAUGAUAUCUGGUUACGCUCACACGAAGCGUUUUUGCGAGGCCGAGGCAUUGUUCGAAGAGAUGCCGAGGAGAGAUCUGGUUUCGUGGUCGCUGAUGAUCUCCGCGUAUGCUCAAAAUGGCGACACCGCUCGAGCAAAGGCUUUGUUUGACGGAAUGCCUCAGCAGAAUCUCAUCGCCAGGAACACGAUCGUAGCUGCGUACGCUUCGGAGGGCGAUUUGGGACUUGCGAGGAUGGUGUUUGAUGCGAUGCCGGAGAAGAAAGACGACGAUCGUUAGAGAGUAUGCGCAAAACGGUCAUUUACGUGAGGCAAGGGUGUUGUUUGAAAAGAUGCCUGAGAGUCGUGACCUGGAACUCAAUGGUCACAGCCUAUGCUCAGAACGGACUGGUUGAUCAAGCUGUGGAUGUCUUGAAUCAGAUGCCUUGCAGAGAUGUGGUUUCCUGCAACGUUACGAUUGCGGCAUAUUCGCACAACGGGCAUAAUCAGCAGGCCAUCGCGUUGUUUCGAAAGAUGGAUCUUGAAGGCUUGCAACCCAACGAGAUCACCUUCAUUACGGUCUCCAACGCCUAUGCAACGGUCUCGUUGUAGGAAUAAUGAUGAACACGACAAGCAGUCCGAAUCGUGAUCAGAUCUCUGGUGAUUUCCGAUUUGAUUGAAGUUGUAUAUAUAUACAGCCAUAUAUGAAUCAAGGCGUGUGUUGAAGUGAAAUUCGUUGUUCUUGCUCCGCUUUUCUUUCUUGGUAUCGGAGCUUAGUUUCUGAACUCUUUCUUCUCCUUUCUUUGUGCCUCACAUCAUGAGCUGCAGCAAAGUUGGAUUGAUCAUUCAUUCAUUCAUUCAUCACAUAAACACUAGAGCGUAAUAGCUAUAUGCUAAUGGUUAUGUUAGCGUUUUCUUCAGGUGUCAUUCAUCCAUCAAUCACAAAGAUUUGAGUUUUGUUUGUUGUUAAAAUUUAAAUUUAUAAUCUUACAUAUACUGCAGUCAUGACUUCCACAAUUCAUGCUGCAAUCAACAGGACCUCCAGGCACUUCAUGGCACACUGAAAGAGGACAUACCCACAACCAAAUUAUGGACAUCCCUCUAUCAUGUAAGCAUUUGUUAAAUUUUGAUUUUGUGCGGAUAGAUCCAACGAGCUUGCCUUGAAUUACGUUUGAAUUGAAACUGAUCGCAGGGACAUCAAAACUACUUGGACAGCAAUCAGCUUGACGACGAUGGAAGGGUGAGAACUCCGAGCGUUCUGCGAGAUCACCGAACUGGAGUACAUUCUCGAAGUGUCGGGCCGGCUCACUCUCGAGUUUAUGGACGUGUACAGGAUUCGCGGCAGCAGCUUCAGCAUUGACUUGCUGGAGCUGACAGACUUCGCAGACUAUAUAGUGACUACGAGAUCAUUCACGAGCACACCUUUUGUCCCGAGUUGGGAGGAUCUUUUUAUACCAUUCUUUCUAGAGCUCCCAUGAUACUCCCUCGGAGCCAAACAAAUAAAGGAAUUAAAGGUACCUCUUUGGAAAAGUGGCGAUUCUACGUAACACCAAGAAAAAAUCACGGGUGCAGCGGAUCGGAGCUCUUGCUCUCCAGAGGUUCUCGUUUUCAAGUCGAGGGUUGACCACUGCUGGGUUUUAGUUUUUGCUCCGCUUUCUCCACUUUGCAGGGCUUGGACAGGCCAAAUAAAGGAAUAGAGAAGAAAGAAACUCACUGUGAAUCCAAGAUAUCACAGCUGUUCCUCCUUCGUGUUUUAUGCGCGUGAGCUCCUCUUCGAUCUGGAAGCCGACGGCGAUCACCCUAGCACCAGAAAUCCCCCGCCAAGAACAAGAGGACGAAAUCCUGUCCUGGUCCUGGAUCGAUCCGCUGCUCCUACUCUAGCCACAAAACCUCGCGGAGCCACUACGCCGGCGCCAAGAUCCACAGCUCCUCGCGAAAUCACCACGACAAGAUCAAGAUUCCCGAGAAUGCGCCCGCGGAGGAAGAUAUCCAGCGCCUCCGGCCCACUGCCGCUGGGAAGAAUCCACGCCCGUGGCACAAGAGCAGCAUCGAUUCCUGCCGCCAAUCCGGCUCCCUGGCUGCCAUCUCUGUUGGAGCUCCGGAGACGCCGUCGCGCCGCGCCACCGCGCGAGGAAAGGUAAGACGGUGGAAGCCGAAUCGGAGCCAUGGAAAUCGAGGAGCAAGCCGCCGCGGCCAGAGCCAGUGCUGGAGCCGGCAGUGCCGACAACAAAGAAGAGCUCUUCUCCAGGGCGAGGCCUCCACAGGAGACACAGAUUGACGGCGACGAGGAUGUCAUGCGCGAUGAUCUUGCAGAGGUGCCCAAGCCCGUGGAUGACACAAGUCAGCGCAGCCAGGGGGUCCCCAGCCAGGCAGCCUCGCCGCCGCCUCCAAAUCGAGUGGAACCAUCGGGGACCGCUUCUCCCGACGUGGAUUGGCCUCGCGCUUCUCCUCUGUCGCUGUUCUCCGCCAGAAGAUGGAUCACGUCGCUUGGAAGGGGAGCGGGAGGCUUUAAAGGUCCAAGCUAUACGAGCUUGUACCAAGGCAGCACAGAAAAUCCUGGCAGGACCUCUCUCGCAGAUCUUGCUCCCGGAUUGCAGCAAAUUUCGGAGCAGGGCUGCCCGAGCUGACGUCCCUUUCUCUCGCGAGCGUGAACCGACGAAUUACCGAGCGAGCUCAUGGUGGCCAUGGGGCCGAAACUAGAGGAGCUCAGUAUCUCGAAUUGCAGGUAACCAACCGUCUGUGGUGCUUUGGCUUCUUACUGAGAUCCGCUGGACUUUUUUUGUGCAGCGUUACGGUGGCGGCUGUUGCAGCUUGCGGUUCUACUCUGAAAAGCUUUGCACUUCGAAGGCUUGGAGCUUACAGACGUCACGUUACAGCACUAGGACCUCAGGUGAAUCUUUACUGCCUUUCUUCUCAUCUGCUACUUACACAAGCUUUGUUUUCUUCUCAGUGACGAGGUAGUGGCGGACUUCGUCACGGCCGCUGGAAGCUCGCUGCGCAACCUGUCCAUCGCAAGCGUGAAAGCGUUCGUUCUUUGUCAGGCCCUUUUGCCGCAGAGCGACCGAGGACGGGUUUGGAUUCCUUGUCCCAAUCUCGUGGAGCUCAGACUCUUUCUUGCUCGUCUUUAAAAACUCAAAUAAACAAAAAAACGCGAUUCUUUAAACAAUUUUUAAGAAAAUUGUCCGAGUGUAACGGGCGACUUUAGGUUUAACACAUUUUAGGGUUUGGCGGCUAUGGCGGCUGAAGCGGUGAGGGAGCUGAAGAAAUCGCUCAACGACGACGAGGGUUUCUUUGAUAGGCACGAAGAGAUGACUGAUCUGCUCACACAUAUUGAGGGAGACAACCGCAUCGCUGUAGUGCUGGGCCCCAACGAUUCAGGCAAGUCCGCUCUGCUCAAGCAGCUCAGGAAGAUGUGGGAUACCAGCCCUUUGCUGAAAGCCCAGUUGCCGCUCUUCUACAUGGACAUGAGGGCUGCGGACUUCAGUUCCCCAUAGCAGGCACAGAUUGCAAGACAGAUGCGAACUUCGGCUUUUUGGCUCAUAGAUGUGGCAGCUCAAAGUGCCCUGCAACUGGCUUCCAUUGCUUAAUGUCUAUGUGACUUUAGAACCACUGCCGGAAAAGGUUGUCGAAGGUGUACAUAAUCACCACAACAGCCCGGUUUUGUUUGGUCAUGGCUAUGAAACAUCCCAGGAGGGCUAUGAAACAUCUUAGGAAGGUGCCUAUAUCCUGGUCCGACCAGGUCCUGGGAUGUUUCAUAGCCAUGACUAAGCAGGACCAGACUGUUGUGGUUAUGUCCACUUCUGAUGACAUUUUUUUGGCAGUGGUUUCAAAGUUACAUAGACGUUGAGCAGUGAAAGCCAGUUGUUGUGGGGCACGUUAGUGAAAAGAACGCCAAGGCAUUCCUGUCAAGCCUCGUUGCCAAGUGCAUAGCAGUAGGUGCCACAGCUCCUGACUCAUAGUCGGAGCAGAAGGUGUAUGAGAUCUGUGGCAGUUACCCUUUAACACUUGAGAACUGUGUGAUCAAUGUGUUCGAGCAGGGAAGCAGCAUGGAGGUGGUUCUUGAAGAUAUGGUGGUGGCACAGCUGCCCAUGAUUCUCCUGGGACUGGAGCAUGGUCACGGCUGGGAAGAGGCUAAGUUCAGGGAGGUGAUGAAGCUCAUUGUGGCGCAUGGUGCAGUUGGGCUGUCGAAGAUUUGCCGCCGUAUCUUUAAGUCGGACAUCUCGGAGUGCCAGCAGCAGAUCAAAGCAAUGCUCUCCUUCAAUGUGAUACAUGUUCAUUACAUGCUGCCGGGACUGGUUUAUGAUGAUCUUCGAGACUUUGACAUGGGGCCUGCCAUGAACUGUGAUUUCGUCAUGGCAAGGUCGCCUACCCACCAUGUGGCUAUGAAAAUGUUUUGUGAUGGUGCGUUUGACAAACCGGACGAAUAGAAACUUAGAAAUGUGAAUAUCAUAUUAGUCCCUAACAAAGAGAAACUUUUGCAAACGAUUUCAACUUUUGCUUUCCAUCCUGCAAGGAUCCCCGUGAAUGUGCAUCCACAGCAACAGCGCAUGCCUUUCCGUCACAGCCUUGAGUUCCUUCUUGAAAGAAUGCUUGAAGAAGACGAAGGCGGGCAUUUUGAUCCGGACUUGCGUGACCAGCGCUUCCAGCAGUCGUCUUCUGUCACCAAAGCUGAGCCUACCGAAACAGUACCAGACCUGCUUUCUGAUCUUCUCGAGCUGCGCUCGUCGCCAUCGCUGUUCUCCGCCAUCAAACCCCACGAUGUGCUGUCUGGACUGAUUGGCAAACGCUGCUUCUGCUCGGUGAUGAACGAUUCCGCUUCCAGUAAGAGAACGCUGCUCCUGGCGGCUUCAAAUCUCCCGGGAUAGCAGUAGUCGUCCCUGUCCCUUCCGUGGAGGAAAAACGCUAGAGAUCCGUCAGGAAGGCCGAUGAUCUCAAACACCGGACCCCAGAGCAACCCGCAAUCCAUUCCUCGAGGGGUGGUAUGAUUCGGCAGCCCACCACCGAAAGAAAUCCCCAAGUAACAUAGAUUAAGUUCCCCAGCUCCGGAUUCUGAUGCACCCAAAUACCCACCAGAUUCCUCACCCGUUGAUGAAUCUGAACAGCGCCUUCUGCGACUGCAUCCCAUGCCUCUAAGUGCUCAAGUCGAUGUAGUCCUCCGCUUCUUCUUCUCUAACCAGCCUUUGGCACUGCGGGAACCAGAGCUUAUCAGAGCUGCAGACGUCUCGAAGCUUGCAAGAAGUGUGACAGACGCGGCUGGAUGUCAACCCGAACAUAUCGUCCAGAAGAUCAGUCAACAAGCCGUCGUGAUCUCCCAUCGAGGAAAAAAACAAGCUCCUCGAUCACGCAUCAAAGGUAACAUUAUCAGAGGUAACAGCAGCGGCAGAAGCAGAAUCCAUAUCUACAAAACGCACACAGUAGUCAGCAGCUGAGCUUGAGAAUCGGCAUAAAGAAAAGAAAAACAAGAACAAAACCAUCUGUGUGUCGAUUUCCUUCCUCAGUUUUUGCAGGACCUACCUAGGGAGUAGUCGCAGCUCGGCAGGCGAGGAUGCAAGAGAAACCCGCCAGGCAUUAAACAUGAUUCGACGAGAAAUUCCAAAGUUGACUACACUACAAACAUUGAAUAGCAGUUGUUUAAUCGCCCUAUUUGCAACUGCUGCUUCAGAAAACACACCUGGCGGUGGAACGCAAAGGUCUGGAUUGCAUUCCAAAAACUCCGCUCUGAGAGGGGCAGAGAAAUGAAUCGGAUCAGAUCAAGGAGAAGAAGAAGAGAAGAUCAACUCAAUCACCUACGUGCCGUGAAGCGCUUCGAUGCUGCUGGAAUAGAGCCCUAGACAAAACCACCAAACACUAGCGACGACGAGCUAGAGAAGAGCUCCUGUUGCUGAUGAAAAAGAAAAUGUUUUCAAGUCUGUCCGCUUGGCCUAAGCACCAAAAAAAACAAAGCAAAAAAAGAAAACAAAACGAUCAUCAAAACGACCCACCACAUCAAACAGGACCAAAUGCAAUUGCUGAGGGAGGCGAAGACGACUCGGGCGGAGGCAGGAGUAAAUGGGGGAGCUUAGUGCUCUAUACUGCAGCUGUUAAGCUUCAGGCAAUUAAAAUCAAAGAUUCCGUGGCUCCCACGAAACGAGAAGCAAAGUCAUGAGCAGCACAAAAGAGCACGUAGAUACAGACGAAAACAAAGAAAAAAAGAAACCAUCGUUUUAGAUGAUACGAUCAGCACUUGUCAAGUCUCACUCAGACGAGCAGACAAAAACUUCACGGAAUCAGAGGGGAAUGAUUUCGCAUGAGAAUCAGGCAGGCUGCAUGCACGAGAGAGAAGUGUAUGAUCAAGAAACAAGAAAAAGUGGGAAAGGAAAGUACCUCGAGUCGGAAAUCUCCCUCACAAGCAGCCGAACAUUUUGCGAACUCAUUUCAGCUUGCUGCAAGCAGAAAUGAAUUCGAAGGUUUGCCGUGAACGUCUUUGACACUCCAACGAGCUCAGCUCCCUCACAAGCAGCGCAACGAUUUGCGACUACGAGUGCCAUGAACGUCUUUGACACACUGCGUUGUUGAAUUCGAAGGAGGCAGCACAGCGAAUCUGUUUCAGCUAUGAGACACACUGUUAACAUCAAGACGGCUCAACCGUUUCAGGACAAAAAUCAUUCAUACCUCUGUGCAUUCAAAGCAUCAACGAGUCAUGUUGAAAACCAUUGCCCGAAUUGACACUCCAACCUCACUCAGUGCCGACAUUCCUUGAGCAGAGCGAAAAGCUCAUCCGUAGUCUGUUUAAAUGCGUGAUCUUCAGCCGCGGGACCUCGGAAAUCUGGAAUCUGGUACCAGAAAGGUCAGUAGCAGAUCACCAGCAAAUGUACAGUUCCUACACUCUGAGCUUGGCGCUUGAGCAACGGUGGUAGGAUAUCGAGUUCUGGAAUGAAUCUGCAAAGCCAAAACCUUCUGAAGCUGAAAACAGACUAAAGGCAGAAACAGAAAUAUCUCACGAUUCGGCCAGACCUGCAGUGCAAACGUCCCUCUCUUUUCUUCCUCUUACGACCCUUUGUAAGCCAUGCAGGAAAUCUGAGUUUAUCUUCCAUCUGCAAAACACAUAUCGUAGAAUAUCCGAACAAGGUUAUUAAAGCUUACAGCAUCGAACGCUCCCUCCUCCCUUGCAGAACAGAUGAACUGCAGAUCACAUACCAGUACAUACCAGUACAUCAGUUGAGAAGUUGCAUGUCAUACCAGGUCAGAGCCAGAACUGCACAAAGUAAGUUUGUGAGCUCCCAUGUCCGAUACUUGUGCAUGCUUUUGCUGGUCAUGUCUCCAACGUAAAGGUAAUCCGAAGCUUUUGAAAUAGAAUCCAUGAUAAACGCUUCCUUUCAGUUAGCAGGCUUGUAGCUGAUGUAGUUUUCCUGACAGAAACAAGAUAGACAAAAAAAAGGUCGAAAUUGUUGUCUUACCUGAACAAGGAGUGCAACAAACUCGAAAUCUUCAAGUAUGAGAUUGAUGCGAGCUUGAAGAGGUUGGUUCGUCCGAGUGCCUAAUUCAGCGCACAAGCUUAAGAACAACGUGUGGUAGUAGUAGUCGUAAUGCUGUGUUCGGAUUCUUACCUGUCUACGACAGCGAACGAACUCGGCAUACUAUCUUUCGCAUCUAGUUUCCUGUUUACGGGAUUUCCAGCACACAGAUACUGCAGACUUCAGUGAUCAGAAAGAAACACAGAUUGGAAAUACCACCAGGUACGACACCUGCAUCUGAAGCAAACUCUGUCGAACAUUCCGUUGAGCGCUGUCUACAAGCAAUUUCAGAAAUUCCUGAACCAAAGCUUUUGUCAGCAGCUCGUGAAUCGCACCAAGCUACCUUAUCCACAAGCACGUUUUCUUGCUCCUGAACGCCGAAAAGCAAUUUCAAGAUCUGAAGAAUAAACAGCGUUACCAGACGUAUCGUUUGUUUUGGGUUUCUGGAACUUGAGCUCGACACAGUAAUCCGCAAGAUUGCGGAUGCGCUUGUGAUAUCUGUCAUUACAUAUGCAAAUGACUGGAAGUUUGGCCCGUCUUACUAAAUCAGAUCGCCGUGUGGCCACGAAGUAUUGCAACCGGAACACCAUCUGGUAAUCCCCACUAAAGGCAGAAGCGAAAUAAAUCAAAAGAAGAAACAAAAACACAACAAAGGAAUACUUACAACACGGAUGGAGGAAUCGUUAGAAGCUGAUGCAACUAGAGUGUUCGAACUACUUACAGACAAAUCGGUUAUAUCCCCCUAAAAGCCAGGUUUUAAGCACAAUAUUCGAAACGGAUGCAGAAAAUAGUACCCCGUGUCCUCUACAGCUACGAAGGCAAAGUCUAUUUUCUACGGACCAUAUCUUCACAAGCCGGUCGUCCGAGCCAGUGACAAGAUACCGUCCAGUACGAUAAAAAACGGCUGCAUGUUUAUCGCUUCGUUAAUAGGUCUUGAAAAUCAAAAAGAAAAGAAACACGUACCACAAUAUACCGCAUUACGAUGACCCCUUAGCACCUGGAUGAUUCUUAUUCUGUUCACCAGUACAGAUGGCUUGAUGAUAACAUGUUUCACAGUCCGUGUGGAUGGCGGUCUGUGAUGCUUUGCAAAUCCACCACCAAGUUCACGGAACGCGAGAGCAUGAACUUGGUCAGCUUGCCAAUGCGGCCAUCGCAUUUGUUCUAUUCUCUUGGUAGAGAUACUAGUAGCAUUGCUUUGCUCCGCUGUAUGAAGUUUGCUCGGAUCAGCAACGGCAAGAUUCGAAAAGUACACGGCUUACAUUCCAAAAGCGAGAAUGCUCCUGACCCCAAAAGCGUAGGAACGUCAGCGGCAGUCAAUUGCUUGGGAACUUUCGCAUCAAGCAAGGACGCGGACUUGUCGUGAACAAGUAGUUGCUGCAAGAGCUUAACCAAGUGGUUGUUGUCAACGUUCUUAUAUCUGAAAUUCGAAAAAAAAAAUAUCCAUCCUUUUGUCAGCAAGACAAACCAAAAAAACAAAGAACUUAGCGACACACAAUACCUCUCGGCAACUUGCGCGUAGCUGAGUGGGAACGACAAACCAUCGUCAUUCUCGUCGGCGGGGGGCGUUCCAUUCCUGAUGGUACCUCCGGGGCAAGAGCUUGUGCUGUAGGAGCUCGUUCCAGAGCUGGUCAGUGGCUCUCUCAUAAGGGCCUCUCCUCAGGAAGUGCAUGAUAACUUCCCCAACUUGAUCUCCUCGUCUUGUUCAUGCAGGUGAUGAUUAGCUCCAACAUCAGACCGUAAAGCCACCUACGUUAGUCAGUCUGCACGAGAGGUUAGCUAAGCUGCAUGAAGAUUGCACCCGAGUCUACUUGAAGACAGAAAACUUGAAAGCUUCGAUUGAAUGUUCCGUUACCAUACAAAGCAUUUGAACCCAGUGACUAUAUGCAAUAUCCGCAGCUCCAAAGGACCUCCUGAAUAAAUAGUUACACUCAUCCACCUACAAGGAAGUACCAAUUAGACAAUGCCAGGCCACGUUCAUGUCUAUGUUCUUGCCCGGAAAAGGACUUACUAUCAGAAGCUCACAACAUAUGAGCCUUUUUAUUUCGAAGAACGAAGAUCCGAAUCAGAAAAAAAAUUCCUGAGAAAAAAAAAGAACAGCUUUGUCAUUUCUAUGAAUCAACUACUGAUCAUUGAACCAGCAGGAGCGCCACUUACCCACCACUGUGCUCUUUGCACACGACUUGACCAAGCCAUCCAAACCCUGAUCCAGUAUUUUAAAAGCCGCACAACGUAUUUUGGAGGCUGGGUUGUGAUCUCGAUUGCUGAUGUUUCUGCGACUUAACAAAUGCUUACCUGAUAGAGGGAUGUGGAACAGUCGAUCAUGACUUGGUUGUGGGCUGCUAUAAAAUCCUGGAGCAGGAAUGGGAUCCAUUCGUGCAGCAGUGAGGGAGGAUUUGCAAGCGAUCCAUGGUGCAUUGAAGGAGGAUGUGGUUGCCAUGGCUAGAGCAGUGAAUGUUGCGGUUAUGCGUGCUGCAAUCAAGGAGGACCUCCAGGCACUUCAUGACACAGUGAAGGAACCACAGCAACAUCUUCCUUUAUGGCACUAUGGAUUAUUGGCAAAUCCUCCCUCACUGCCGCACGAAUGCCAGAGGCCAUCACCUGGAGAUUCUCAGUCACAGCUCCCAUUCCUGCACGCAUGGCAGAUGCCAGCACCAGCACACAAGCUGUGGUCACGAUGCACAGCACACUGAUCACAAUGGUGCUAACAAGCACCAUCGCAAUCAGAAACUCCAUUGGUAGGGUUUGCAGCAAAACCUUAGUAAAAUCGAGAACGAAAUAAGGUUUGCAACAGCUAUGAAAGACGCAAAUGACACUCUUACCAGAAGUUCGAGCCGCCUGCCCUAUCUUCGCAAGAACCCUAAGCUAACGGUCGCUUUAUCUUACAUACAAUGGGCCACUGGCCACUUUCUUGGUGGGCCGCCAUUCGUACAGUGGUCUGGCGGGAACUCGAGUUCCUUGUGCCACGAUCAGUGGAUUCUCGCGAUUUCUAUCAGUACACGGGCUCGAUGACAAGAGGAGGAGGAAGAGGAGGAGGAAGAGGAGAAGGAUGGCACUCCAUCUCCUCGACUUCUUUCAUCCUCAUGGUUUUCCAUCCUCGGACUGAUCUCGUGUUUGACAAUGUAGAUGGAUGUGUAAGGAAAAUGUUUCUUUUCUUCGUUAACUAAGACCUCGAGAAAAUUCUUACAAAGCUCACAUUUGCAGUGCCUCAGAGAAGCGUUCUCUCAGCCGCUCCACCUUGAGCACCGACGAAUGCUGCUUCCCAAAAUAUGUCCGGAAGUUGUCGAUCAGUAUCCUAAGAUCGUGUGACACCGCCAUCACGCUACGCUACGAUAAUAGUUGUUCUCCAGCCGCUCGCGAAUCACGUCCAUGGAGAUUGGCAGCGCAAUCCUGCAUUGUUUGAAAACCUUUAGCUUCUUUCUCAAUCGCAAGAGAUUUUUCCAACUUGCCUGUCAAGAAAAUCCGGCUUGCUCACGGCCUGCUGCAACCUCCACAAGCCAUACUCGUCCUGUGAAAAGCAAAAGCUCGUCAAGCCAAGACCAAAACCAAAACAUUCCUCGAGUCUAUGAUCGAUCGCACAAAAACAAACCUUGGAUUGGUUCGAGUGGAGCACCUCGUCCACGAUGUCGAGCAGCUCACGCACCUUGUCCUGCUCGAUCUGUGGCGACUCCCAAGUUAAAGGAUUCUCAACGUCGUGAAGCUCCCAGGGGCAGUGGUUCGUCGUCGAUGGCUCGUCCUUGUACAGCACACUGAUGCUGUCCCUGGGGCUGUUUGGAAACUCGGGCGACUUUCCCUUCACCUGAGUUAUCGUCCCUUCCCACCAGCGACCACCUUCUUCCUCGUCCGACCUCCACCACACUUGGCACUUGUCCCGACUGGACCACUUCCUGGCCAUGGAGGCCUCGUAGCGGCUUCUCUCCACUAUAAAGUCGGCGAAGUCUGUCAGCUCCGGCAAGUCGACGCUGAAGCUGCUGCCGCGAAUCCUGUACCCGUCCAUAAACUCAAGAGUCAGCCGGCAACAAGUGUUCCCCGACACUUCGAGAAUGAUGUACUCCAGUCCAGUGAUCUCGCAGAACUCGACCACUUGCAGUUCCCUUUUCACGCUUCUCCAGGGACCAUCGUCGUCGAGCCGCUUGUUGUCUAAGUAGUCUUGAUGUCCCUGCGAUCGACAGUUUCAAUUCAAACAUAAUUCAAGACAAGCUCGUUGGAUCUCUUACCUGUCGGAAGUACACCACCUCAUCACCAUACUGUGGGAUGUAGCGCGUCCGCUCCACCUCUGUCAAGAGUAACCAGGACACGUUGCUCGGACUCCGAUGCACCGUGCUCAGGUUUCUCCUCACGUGGAAAUCCUUGUACCUCGACCCAACGUUCUUCUGCAGCUUCACUUUAAGUCUGCUCGAAGUUCUUCUUUCGGGCUUUCGGCGUCCAUCGUCGUCGCUGCUUCUAUCCCAGUCCGAGUCGUCGUAAGACGAGCUAGCUUCCCAGUGUGAGGGACGGCCGACGUUUCUCCUGCUUCUUGUGGACCUGCUGUUGGAGAGACUAACCACGCGACCCUGCGCCAGCCGUGUACUUCUCCUGCGGCCACCUGAAGCGUGCUCGUCGGCCUCAUAACACUCGGUCUUAGUCGCAACUUUGCGAGGCCUUCUCCUUGAGUAGACGGCCUUGUUCAUAUUGCGCUUCAUUUGUAUAUCGUCCACGUCCAGGUCCUCACUUGCCUGCUCUUCCUCGGGCUUGUAAGCAUCCUCCAGCGACUCACUGUUACUGCCUGGUGAAACCUCUUCGUGGUAAUCAGGGUCAUUGUCACCAUCUGGAGCUUCUCCAUUCUGUAAGGACUCAAUGACAGUCAUCCAGAAACAGAUGGUUUUAUCGCGGACGAGAAUCCCACUGAAGCUGUUUCGUCUGACGACAAACAGGGAUACAUAUGGAAGAAGGGGAAAGCAGCCAAGCGUGCUCGCAUGCCUUAUCACAGCAGCAGCAGCUCGGAAGAGGAUAAACUGGUAGACGUUCCUUGUGAUACCAAGGAAGGUCUUGAAGCGACUCGUGUAGAAAAUGGAGACACAAAGGUGGUGGCAAGGGCGAUCAUUAGCGAGUCCGAGUCGGAGAGGUCUCUUUCAGCUGACUACCUUGACGAACAGCAGAGACGAGAGCAGAAUCACACUCUUAUGAGCAAUAGCCUCGGCCACGGGGACUUUAGAAGUGCCUUGUUCUGGUAUUUCGAGGCUCUGAAAAGUAUCCUCGUUGUUGGACGUUUGUGCACAGUUUCUCAACUUGAGUACUAACUUUCGCUGAGACCUUGGCCGCCUGCAUUUACCCACGUCCGAAGUCUCUGCGGGACUCUUCUUCAGAGGUUCAUCGUCUUCACGUUCCUGAGUUUCUGUAAGAACUUUCCCGUUGCGUAGAAGCCUCUGGUUCUCGUUCUCUCCAGAUGUACCAGGUCUUUUGGCAUCCUCAGCGGCCAGGCGGCGUGCU